This 21-nucleotide non-coding RNA is filed under the name Caenorhabditis elegans. The record is from RNAcentral. Lineage: Eukaryota; Metazoa; Nematoda; Chromadorea; Rhabditida; Rhabditidae.
UGUUUUUACUAUUUUUUCAAU